This 429-nucleotide ribosomal RNA is filed under the name uncultured bacterium. RNAcentral describes it as "bacterial SSU rRNA". It matches the Rfam family "Bacterial small subunit ribosomal RNA", at positions 355 to 796 of the family's 1533-position model. The record is from RNAcentral.
UGGGGAAUAUUGCACAAUGGGCGAAAGCCUGAUGCAGCGACGCCGCGUGAGGGAUGACGGCCUUCGGGUUGUAAACCUCUUUCAGCAGGGAAGAAGCGCAAGUGACGGUACCUGCAGAAGAAGCACCGGCUAACUACGUGCCAGCAGCCGCGGUAAUACGUAGGGUGCGAGCGUUGUCCGGAAUUAUUGGGCGUAAAGAGCUCGUAGGCGGUCUGUCGCGUCGGAUGUGAAAGCCCGGGGCUUAACCCCGGGUCUGCAUUCGAUACGGGCAGACUAGAGUGUGGUAGGGGAGAUCGGAAUUCCUGGUGUAGCGGUGAAAUGCGCAGAUAUCAGGAGGAACACCGGUGGCGAAGGCGGAUCUCUGGGCCAUUACUGACGCUGAGGAGCGAAAGCGUGGGGAGCGAACAGGAUUAGAUACCCCCGUAGUCC